This 303-nucleotide unclassified non-coding RNA is filed under the name uncultured fungus. RNAcentral's name for it is "partial contains small subunit ribosomal RNA, internal transcribed spacer 1, and 5.8S ribosomal RNA". The stretch from base 1 to 73 matches the Rfam family "Eukaryotic small subunit ribosomal RNA", at positions 1759 to 1831 of the family's 1831-position model. The record is from RNAcentral. Lineage: Eukaryota; Fungi.
ACAAACUUGGUCAUUUAGAGGAAGUAAAAGUCGUAACAAGGUUUCCGUAGGUGAACCUGCGGAAGGAUCAUUACAGAGUUCAAGGCAGUCAGGGGAAACCCGAGCUGCCUGCACACUCCCACCCUUUGUUUACCUUACCUUUGUUGCUUUGGCAGGCCCGUCUCUUGGGACCGUCGGCUUCGGCUGGCCAGUGCCUGCCAGAGGAUCUCAAACUCUUAUUAAUGGAUUGUCUGACUACUAUUUAUAAUAGUUAAAACUUUCAACAACGGAUCUCUUGGUUCUGGCAUCGAUGAAGAACGCAGC